UGAGUACGAGAUGCUACGGCAUCGAAGCAGUCUAUGUCAUACUUCCAAGAAAAGCUUGCACUGUCAUAAACAAAGAAUGCCUGUACCAUAACCGACACAGGUGGGUAGGUAGAGUAUACUAAGGGGCGCGAGAUAACUCUCUCUAAGGAACUCGGCAAAAUGACUCCGUAACUUCGGGAGAAGGAGUGCCUUAUUUCUAAGGUUGCAAUAACAAGAUCCAAGCAACUGUUUACCAAAAACACAGGUCUCCGCUAAGUCGUAAGACGAUGUAUGGGGGCUGACGCCUGCCCAGUGCCAGAAGGUUAAAGAAGUUGGUUAGCAUUAGCGAAGCUGAUAACUGAAGCCCUGGUGAACGGCGGCCGUAACAAUAACGGUCCUAAGGUAGCGAAAUUCCUUGUCGGGUAAGUUCCGACCCGCACGAAAGGCGUAAUGAUUUGGAUACUGUCUCGGAGAGGGGCUCGGUGAAAUAGACUUGUCUGUGAAGAUGCGGACUACCUGCACCUGGACAGAAAGACCCUAUGAAGCUUUACUGUAACUUGAGAUUGAAAUUGGACUUUAUUUGCGCAGUAUAGGUGGGAGGCGUUGAGAAUAAUCUUGCGGGAUUGUUGGAGCCAUCAGUGAGAUACCACUCUUGUAAUGUUAGAUUUCUAACUUUGUAUCAUUAUCUGGUCAAAGAACAGUUUCAGGCGGGCAGUUUGACUGGGGCGGUCGCCUCCCAAAGGGUAACGGAGGCGCACAAAGGUUUCCUCUGAACGGGUAGAAAUCGUAUCUAGAGUGUAAAGGCAUAAGGAAGCUUGACUGUGAGACCUACAAGUCGAGCAGGGACGAAAGUCGGUCUUAGUGAUCUGACGGUGCUGAGUGGAAAGGCCGUCACUCAACGGAUAAAAGUUACUCUAAGGAUAACAGGCUGAUCUCCCCCAAGAGUUCACAUCGACGGGGAGGUUUGGCACCUCGAUGUCGGCUCAUCGCAUCCUGGGGCGGUAGUCCGUCCCAAGGGUUGGGCUGUUCGCCCAUGUAAGCGGUACGCGAGCUGGGUUCAGAACGUCGUGAGACAGUUCGGUCCAUAUCCGGUGUAGGCGUUAGAAUAUUGAGAGGAGCCUUCUCUAGUACGAGAGGACCGAGAAGGACAUACCUCUGGUGUACCAGUUAUCGUGCCAACGGUAAACGCUGGGUAGCUAUGUAUGGAGUGGAUAACCGCUGAAAGCAUCUAAGUGGGAAGCCCACCUCAAGAUAAGUAUUCUCACC
This 1245-nucleotide ribosomal RNA is filed under the name metagenome. RNAcentral describes it as "bacterial LSU rRNA". It matches the Rfam family "Bacterial large subunit ribosomal RNA", at positions 1564 to 2818 of the family's 2925-position model. The record is from RNAcentral.